UUAACUGAAACCAAAAAGAGGUAUAUUAUUGUUAAUAAUAAAAUUGAAUUUAAAAUUCCUGUUAAA
This 66-nucleotide transfer RNA is filed under the name Pericapritermes sp. B TB-2017. RNAcentral's name for it is "tRNA-Asn". Lineage: Eukaryota; Metazoa; Arthropoda; Insecta; Blattodea; Termitidae. The record is from RNAcentral.